CCAAAAUCCAAUACUCUUCACGUCGGCCGAAUGAAAAUUAAAACCCUACCAGCGCCAAAAUCCGACACGCCACCUCAACCCGAGUCCUCGGCUGCUAUACAACCCAAAAGCGGGUGUUGCACGGGAAGAAAAGUGGAAUUCCUAAGCUGGAAUCUGAGGUACAAAAUUGCCAUUGAUUGUGCAUUAAGAUGUGAAAUCAAAAAUAUUUUGCUGAAUUCUAAUUUCAAAGCUUACGUUGCGGAUUUUAGGCUCAUCAAAUUCUUGGUAGAUGGUGGUGUUGGAUUAAUUAAUUGUGUAUUUGCGUGUGUGCAUGUGGAGGGGAAAAGGAGGGUUGUCUGAGGUUAGGUUUCAAACAAAUAGGUGAUUUAGCCGACUUGGGUAAAAGUGGAAACGGAUGGAGGGUGGAAAAUUUUGUACAAUAUUUUUUGUAUUAAAUAAAUGGACUCCCUCCUACGUGUUUGGAUUUGGAUUUCUUUACAUAUGUUUAUAUAAUGAAUUAUACAUUAUACAUAUAUGCCCAAACAAAAAUGUAUUAACAGAAAACAUUUUUCCACGUGAUAUAAAAAAAAACAACAAAAAUUCAUGAAGGAUUUCGAUCUUAACAUAAAGGCUCUGAUACCAAUUGUUAAUCUUUAGUUUUAAUCAUGUUAAGAAUCGAUAAUCACAAUCCAAUAAAUUAAUUGAAACGAAUUCAUACCUGCAGAAGCCAUUGUUGAUAUAAAUAGUAGUUGUAAUAGCAGCCAAGAUCUUCCCCUCCUUGCUCCUCACAAAAAAAUCAGCUAUCAAUGGGGCAAGCCAAUAAAACAUAUAGAAAGGAGAGAGGACCUAGCCUUUACAUAUAUGAAAUAAUUUGAGCCGUCCCAUUACGAUUAGAAUUCUAAUUAGGGUUUAUUUUCGGCUCACAUACUUUAAAUUAUCACAUCAAAUUAAUUACAACCCGUAAAGUGUAAAAAGGCCCAUUUGAUCACUUAAUAAAUUUGGCCCAAACACAAAUAUCAUUAUGAGCCAUAUAUCUAACCCUUAAAAUUUUACAAUCGAAUGUGAAGCCCACAUAUGAAAUUAUUAAUUAUUCCAACAGAUCUAUCAAAUGUUAUCAUUGAGAACAAAAGUAAUCGUGUAUUGAUUUGAGAAUCAUUAGCAAUGCACUUCAGGAAAAUUACAUUUUUCGGAGAAAUUACCUUUUCUAUCCAAGCUAGAAUUUAGAGAGAAAUGCAUCCAAACAUUUUUCUAGUCGUUCUCUCUUUUUCUUUUUCUUUUUCUUUUUUUUAACAUACGUUCUUAAGUUUCAACGGCUAUGUGAAAUCAAUUUUUGAACAAUUGUCUUUGGUUUGGUUGAGUGUGUGCUUUAAAGAUUGGUUAAUGGUUAACACUGAGAACUUCGUGUUGGAAUAAUUAAUAAUUUUAUAUGUGGGCUUCAUAUUUGAUUGUAAAUUUUACGGGUUAAAUGUAUGGCUCAUAAUGAUAUUUGUAUUUGGGCCAAAUUUAUUAAGUGAUCAAUUGGGUCUUUUACACCUUACAAGUUGUAAUUAAUUUGAUGUGGUAAUUUAAAGUAUGCGGGUCGGAAAUAAACACUAAUUAGAACUCUAGUCGUAAUGGGACGACUGAAAUUAUUUCCUAUAUAAAGGCAAGAUUCCCUCUCCUCUCCAUAUGUUUUAUUGGCUUGCCCCAUCGAUAGCUAAUACUUUGUGAGGAGCGAGGAGGGGAAGAUCUUGACUUCUAUUAUAACUAUUAUUCAUAUCAACGAUGACUUCCGCAGGUAUGAACUCAAUUUAUCAAUUUAUUAUUCUGUGAUUCUUAUUCUUAGCAUGAUUGCAAUUAAAUUCAACAAUUGAUAUUAGAGCCUUCAUGCUAAGAUCGGAAUCAUUUAUAAAAAAAAAAUAAAAAGGUGUCAACUUUUCACGUGGUGCUGUGCAUAUGUGUAUAAUGUAUAUUGUAUUCAUUAUAAAUUAAAAACCUAUGAAAGAACCAAAUCCAAACCACAUGCAGUUGGGUCCGUUUAAUAGAAAUAAAUUGUUCUAAAUUUUUCCUCCUGGUUUUCUCUACCGUCCGUUUCCACCAGCCACCAAAUUCUUUAUUUUUCUCAUUUUUGCUGGAAGUCUACCUUUUAAAAAUAAAUAAAUUCAUUAACGUUUUCAUGUGUGCAUUCAUUGUCUAAACAUAUGAAAAUAAAUCAAAACCCAAGUCGCGAAAACACCCUAUUGCAGACAAAACUGAUUUCCUACUAUAAUGGAUUUUAGAUUUGAUUUUGGCUGUGGCAAGAUCUAAAAACGACCACGUGUUGCUCAUAUAUAUAAUUGUUCCAUGGAUGCGUAUCUUCUUAUUGCUGUGAAACAUUGUUGGUUUAAACAUGCAAAUUGUAAUCGAAACCACUGUCGGCGUUGGCGGAUCGAGGAAACAGCAGAAUUGCUAUUUUUGCAGCGAUGACGACAAUCCUUUUAAUGUUGUUUCACAACUUGGGGUGGAGGAAUGUGUCGUUGUCCUAACGGUGACUUCCAACGGCUACAAAAACGAGGAUGGAGAUGGGAGCUCCAAUUGCAAUUAGUCAAGUUUUGAGUCCUUAGUUGCAAUUAUCAUUUAAGGGCCUGUCUGCAAUUAGAGAUUGGGGUCAUAUUUUAAUUUUUAAUAUAAGGACCUGCCAUGCAAUUUUGAAUAUUAAGGAACCUAGUUUUAAUUUUAAAUUUAGGGUUAAAAUGUGAUUUUUAAAAAGGACUUUUAUUUUGAACUUUUAAAAAAAUUUUGACCCUAAAAUUUCAAUUGGUCCAAUUAAAAUUUUAUUUAAACUUGACCUGAUUAAAAUCAUAUAUUGAAUAAAUAAUAAAAUUAAUUGACGACUUUUGUAUUAUUUCAUUAAAAUAUUAUGUAUUGCCAUUAUUUAUGCAUUAAAUUUCAUUUUGAAAUUUUGUUGCCAAUUUCGUCUCUCAAUAUUAAUCACAUAUGGAUUUCUUGUCUUUCAUCAAUUAAUGAUCAUGAUUUGUUGCAUAAUUUUUGUUCUGUGAUUAAAUUUUUGAUGAGUUUUGAGAUGAUUCUUGUUUUUCCCACUAUAAGAGAAAUAUUUUGAAAUAAAAAUGGGUGGUAGCUGCCAAAGUGGCACAUUCAUAAUUAUUUAUUCGAUUUUCUCUACAAUAAAAAUAUACAUAUAUUUCUGCGCAAUAUUUUUGAUUUAUUGCAUGUAAUAUCUUGUUCAAAUGUGUUAUUAUAUGUAAUAUUUUUGGAAAAUGGCGUAAGACAGUUAAUGAGCUUAUUUUGGUUUAGAAAUUUCCUUCUGCCCAAAGGUGUCGGUGUUUCGAAAAUCAGUGUAAUUUUGUUAACUGGAUACAUGAUGUGUUUUAAGAGUACCUUAUAGCAUGUUGUAUUGUCAACUCAAAUGUGACUUUAUGAUGAUGCACCUAGGCUCUUACCGUAAUAAAAUUCAUAUGUUUCGAUUUAAAUUACGGAUUAUCUAAUUAAUAACUCAUAUUAAUUAGUUGGAUAUUAUAUCAUCCAUUUGAUUGCAUGCAUUACGUUUGGAUGAUAUUGAGUGUGAUAUUUUUAUGUUUUCACAGUUUAUAAUGCCUCACCUCUUUCGAAUCAAUUGUCUGCUAUUAAAACUUUGACUGAGAAUAACUAUUUGAGAUGGAAAUGAGAUGUAGAAAUAGCACUUGGUCUUUUGGGCUUAAAUUUUGCAAUGGAGAAAAAGUUUGAGAAACCCACAAAUAAGAGUACCGUUGAAUAUGUAGCCGAGCAUGAAAAGUGGAAAAGGGCUAACAAACUCUGUUUGAAAAUUAUUAAGCGAUCAAUAUCUGAUUCCAUUUUAGGUGUCAUCCCCAAUAAUGAAAAUGUCAAAAAUUUUAUGGAUGUCAUAGGAGAAAAAUUUAUUGAGUCUGAUAAAGCUGAAAUUAGGGAUCUGAUGGAUAAAUUGAUGAGCAUGAAAUAUGAUGGCACAAGUGGUGUUAGGGAGCAUGUCAUGAAAAUGAUAAAUAUAUCAUCUAAGUUAAAGGCUCUUGACAUUCCCAUUGUGGAGCCUUUCUUGGUCUAUGAUGUUUUGAAUAACUUUUCUAGCAAGUUUAAUUAGUUUAGGGUUGCUUAUAAUGCUCAAAGUGAUAAAUGAAAUUUGAAUGAUCUCAUAGCAAUGUGUGCCCAAUAAGAGUAUAUGAUGCGCCGAAAAACUGUUGAAACUGUGCAACUAGCUUUUCAGCCGUCACAGAAUUAGGGACCUUCUCAUAAUCAUAAACAUAAGUUUCGUAAGGGUACUAAGUUCCAUCAAAGUCAGCAGAAUAAAAAUUUUAGUGGUCCCAAAGGAAUCAUAAAGAAAAAUGAUCGGUGCAAGUUCUGCAAAAGGAAGGGUCACAGGCGAAAAGACUGUCUUAAGAUUAAGAUCUGGUUGGAAAAGAAGAAGAGUUCUGUAAGUAUUCCCUUGGCCUUAGUUUGUUUUGAGUCUUCUUUAGUAGAUGUGCCUUUGAAUUCUUAGUGGUUAGACUCGGGAGCUAGUAUUCAUAUUGCGAAUUCCUUACAAGAGUUUACAGGCAAACAGAGGCCAAGUGAGAAUGAAGUGAGCUUCAGUGUCGAAAAUAGAGUUCAAGUGAAGGUUGACUCAUAGGAUAGUGAAGUUGUCUUUGGAGUCCGAUUUUACCAUUAUUUUGGAAAAUAUAGUUUUUGUACCGCAAAUGAGACGAGAUUUAAUUUCUAAAUCGAAACUUGAUGCUUAUGAUUGUACCUUCAACUUUGGUGCUAGAAACGUUGAGUUAUUUUAUGGUUCUCAUUUGAUUAGGAAUUAACUUUUACGUGAUGGUUUAUAUAAAUUGUCUUCAGCACAUUUUGGUGAAGUCUCGUGUGUUACCAAUGUAUCAAAAAAAUGGCUUUAAUCCGUGUAUCGUCCUCUAUGUUGUGGCAUAAGCGAUUAGAUUACAUUUUGAUGGAUAGAAUGGAAAGAUUAGUAAAAGUUGAGAUACUUCACCCUUUAGACUUCUCUAAGUUUGACACUUAUGUCGAUUGUAUAAGAGAAAAAUUAACUAAGUCUACAAAGAAAGUUUCAACUAGGAGUAAUAGUAUUUUGGACUUGAUACAUACUGAUGUUAGUGGACUUUUGCCUUCCACCAGAUGUGGGAUCAAAUAUUUCAUAAUUUUUAUUGAUGAUUUAUCAUGAUAUGGAUGUGUUUACUUGAUUAAUGAUUAAUUCCAUGCAUUAGAGAAAUUCAAGAUUUUCAAAAUGGAAGUAGAGAAAUAAUGUAAGAAAAAAAAGGUAUCAAAGUCGUAAUAUUUGGUCGUGGUGGUGAAUAAUAUAGCAAAUACGACGAGUCUGGUCAAAAUGUGGGUGAUUUUCACAAGUUUUUACAAGAGUGUAGAAUAGUGCUUCAAUACACCAUGUAAGGGACACCUAAGCAGAAUGACGCUUCUGAAAGCUGUAAUCGAACUUUGAAAGACAUGGUCAGGAGUAUGAUAAGUAGAACAAAUUUGCCAGAAUAUCUAUGAAGUAAGCUUUGAAAAUUGUCAUGUAUGUUUUAAACAGAAUUUUAGGUAAAGCUAUUGCAUGUACACAUUUUAAAUUAUGGAUAAGACAUAAGCCAAGUUUGGCUCAUUUUAAGGUUUGAGGAUGUCCAACUGAUGUUAGGAUUUAUAAUCUAUUGGGAAAGAUAAUUAGACCAGAAAUCCACUCCUGAUUACUUUAUUUGGUACCCGACAAAUCAAAAGCAUAUAAGUUCUAUUGUCUAAAUCGUGCCACUAGAAUUGUUGAAUCCGUUACUGAUAAAAUUUUGGAAAAUGAUUUUGGUGAUAGUGGAAGUUCCACAUUAAGAGAACUUUCGUUGAUAGAAAAAAAUUUGUUCUCAACCAGUUGAUGACAAAAUGAAGAACUGGGGAACCUAGAGGAACUUCCAAAUUCCUCCAACAACAAUUGGGUUAGUUCCUGAGCCACAAGUUACAAGAUCGCUUAGGGAAUAGAGAUCUUUCUGAAAAGGUUUACAUGAGACAACCUGAAAGUUUUGUUGUGAAAGGAAAGGAAAAUUUUGUAUGUAAGUUAAAUAAAUCUUUAUAUGGCCUCAAGCAACCAUCACGACAGUGGUAUUUGAAAUUUAACGGGGUUGUAACUUUUCUUGGUUUUGUUGAAAAUACCAUUCAUCAAUGCAUUUAUCUCAAAACCAGUGGGAGAAAUUUUAUUUUUCUUGUACCGUAUGCUGAUGACAUUCUGCUUGCUAGCAAUAACUUAGGGUUGCUUCAUUAGACGAAGAAAAUGUUGUCUGCUAAUUUUGAGAUGAAAGAUCUUGGAAAAGCUUCCUAUAUACUUGGCAUUGAAAUACAUCGUGAUAAAAAUCGUGACUUAUUAGGAUUCUCUCUGAAAGCUUAUAUACGACGUGUUCUAGAAAUGUUUAAUAUGCAUAACUGUGCACCUAGUGAUGUACCUAUCAUAAAAAGAGAUAAGUUUAACAAAACUCAAUGUCCAAAGAAUGAGUUAGAAAGGGAGUUUAUGAAGACGAUUCCAUAUGCUAAUGCUGUGGGGAGCUUAAUGUAUACUCAAGUUUGCACUAGAUUGGAUAUAGCCUAUGCAGUUAGUGUCCUUAGCAGAUUUCAGUCUAAUCCAAGACAAGAGCAUUGAAAAACAGCUAAGAAAGUUAUGAGACAUUUGAAGAAAACUGAAGGUUAUAUGCUUACAUUCCAGCGUACAAAUCAUCUUGAGGUGAUAGGAUAUUCAGAUUUUGAUUUUGCUGGAUAUCAAGAUGAUUUGAAAUCAACCUUUGAUUAUAUUUUUAUAUUAGCUGGUGGUGUUAUUUAUUAGAAAAGUGCUAAACAGACUCUAGUGGCAUCUUCUACUAUGCAAGCUGAAUUUGUGGCGUGUUAUGGGGCUACAGUUCAAGCCGUUAGGUUAAGAAAUUUCAUCUCUAGCUUGAAAGUUGUUGAUUCUAUCUCAAGACCGAUCACCAUCUACCGUGAUAACAGUGCAGCAGUAUUCUUUUCAAAGAAUAAUAAAAGUUAUGGUGGAUCAAAACAUAUUGACAUCAAAUAUUUGGUUGUUAGAGACAGACAUAAAGAAGGACAGACGAAAAUAGAGCAUAUCAAUACAGAGGCAAUGAUAGCAGAUCCCUUGACUAAGGGACUUGCUCCAAAAGUCUUUAAGACACAUGUUACUAAUAUGGGCAUUGUGGAAACAUUUGAUAUUUUUGGUUAGUGGGAGUUAUUUAUGUAAAAAACUACGUUUUGGGCUUGAUCCCUUUGCGGGGUACGUAAGCAACCUAUAUGUUUUCGGAUACAGCCCCUUCUGAUAAUAAAAUAUUUUUCACCUACCCAUGAACUAUUUUGAGCAUGCAUUUGACUUAUGUCUUUUCAUAAUAUUACCAUGAUCUCGAAAUAUGACGUAUGAAGACAUAAGAUGAGUCUCUUUUGGAGACAUGUGGCUUCAUUUUGAUUCGAAGCAUUAUGAGGACCAAUAUGAGUUAGCACAAUUUUUUAUCACAUUUAGUGCCAAGUUCAUACCACAUACUAUCACAUUGUUGGAGGAUGGGGAUCCAUGUCGAUAAUGAUGUUGAUAGUUGUAGCUGUGGAAUGGUCUUACAUCGCUUAAUUGGUGUAAUGACUUCCAUGUUCAGUGUUAAUAUUCUUGUUGGACCGGAUCAUGUUACGUAAGGUGUCAUCAUUGGAGCUAUACUUUUGUGGCCACCUAUGCAGUCUAACUCGGGUGUUAAAACUUUGUUAUGGCAAUCAAAUGUUUGUCCAAGUGGGAGAAUGUUGGAAUAAUUAAUAAUUCCAUAUGUGGGCUUUACAUUCGAUUGCAAAUUUUAGGGGUAAGAUGUAUGGCUCAUAAUGAUAUUUGUAUUUGGGCCAAAUUUAUUAAGUGAUCAAUUGGGCCUUUUACACCUUACAAGUUGUAAUUAAUUUGAUGUGGUAAUUUAAAAUAUGUGGGUCGAAAAUAAAUCCUAAUUAGAAUUCUAGUCGUAAUGGAACGGCUGAAAUUAUUUCUUAUAUAAAGGCAAGGUCCCCUCUCCUCUCCAUAUGUUUUAUUGGCUUGCCCCAUUGAUAGCUAAUACUUUGUGAGGAGCGAGGAGGGGAAGAUCUUGGCUUCUAUUAUAACUAUUAUUCAUAUUAACGAUGGCUUCCGCAGGUAUGAAUUCGAUUUAUCAAUUUAUUAUUCUGUGAUUCUUGUUCUUAGCAUGAUUGUAAUUAAAUUCAACACUUCGUGUUUGGGUUCAACUCUUUCAUGCCUCUUUAAAUUUUAGGGUGAUUGAAUGCAGUCUCUGGGGCGAUUUUUGGAAUUGUGUAUGAGUCGUAGAAGUUUCAAUAAUGACUUGAUUUUACUUUUCUCAUCUAUUGGAGUGUAAGCUGUAACUUACUAUUUGCUUUCAUGAUAUGCAUCAGGAUUUAGAAUUUUGACCUUGUAAUGUGACCCACACUAAAAAUUUUGUUAGAGAAGCACUGAAUCCUUGGCCAACCCAGACUCAAUAAACUGUAUAUAAUUAGGCAUUUCCUUUCUUUCUUCUUGAUACCUCAGCUGUAACAAUAAAAGCUAUGGCAUUGAGCCAUCUAUACAACUGAGAACCUGGCUUCUGCUUCUUCAUUAAUUCCUAGACAGCUGCUCCUCAACAUUUCAACCAAUUCACGAGAUACAAAUGUGAACGUAACAGGGAAAAUGAUAGUAUAAACUAUCAUAGCUUAAUGUUUAGCAGUAAUUAAGCUAGAAAAAUUUCUUUCCUCUUCAUAAGCAAUUCUGUAAGUUAAUUUCUAGCACAUCAGAGAUAAUGAACCGGUUACUUUUAACAGAUUUAGUGAACCCCCAGCAUAAAAAGGAAAAAGAAAAGCCGAGUCCAAAAGUUUAAGUUACUGGAAGUUCAUUCUUGACUUGCUGUCACUUUUCAAUAUCACUCUUCAAUUAGUUGACGGAAUUCAAUGCUCAAAGGAACCAAUUCAACGCAAACAUGAAAGUGGAAAACCAUUCCUUCUAACUGAAAAUUUGAAACCAAAAUUAAGAUUUGCUGGACAUAUUUUUUCUCUACCUACAAUGAGAAACAACAGUAGGUCAUAUGAUGGUUUGAACACAAUGGGAAUAUAUGUGAACACAUAGAAGCUUGUAAUUCACCACCGCUUAGUCAGUGACAAAGGCUAAAUUACGUAGGUCAUAUGAUGGUUUGAACCAUUCUUUAUAUGACUACUUAUUAACAAACUCGUGAAUGGUGCUGAUAAUGACCACUUCAUGCUCAACAUAAAUGAAUUGGAUAAAUUUUUAUAAUCAUCAUAGUAAUGUGUGGAAUCAGGAAUUGUUACCUUGAAAAAAUAUGUAUCUUGUCUAACCCGUGCACCAAAUAUAUCCUAAAUGUUUGGCUCUAUUGGCAAAUUAGAAAUUAUAAACUAACAAAUAUAACUACGAUAAAAAAUGGUUUAUCUUGAAAUAUGUCUAAAUACUUCUCAAUUAAUUCAGCCAUCUUUAAGUCCAAAUACAUGGUACAUACACACAAGGACCACAUUAAAUAGACAAGAUUGUUGCUCCAAUUAGAGGUACUACAAUUGUAUGAACUUUGAUGAACAAGUUGCACAUAGAAAUUACGUGCGAGGAGACAAGUUGACAAAGUUGCGAAAAGGUGUUUUUGAUUUCAUAUACGUGUCAUGAGAAUUGAUGAAAGUCUGCUUAUUUCUCCAAGCCCAAGAUAUGUCACACGUGCUCUAACAUUUUGGAAUAAAAUAGAGCCAAUUUAUCUUUGAAUUUGAGAUGGCUGAAGGUGGUUUAUAACAUCAAUCAUCAUCAUAAUCUAUGCAACUAAAUAUGUCAUGUUAAUGGUAAAAAAUUUUGUUGUCCGUAUUUUGAAUCAUUAAUAAUGAAAAGUUACUCUCAUAUUUAUUUUGAUCUCAUUUUUUUGAAGGAAAAAUUCGAUUUUGAAUUGAACCAACCAAUCAAAGAUGCUAUUGACCGUUCAUGAAGAAGAAGUGGAAGGAUUGUCGUUGUAGAUUGCAUAAAAAUUUGAUAACAUGGGUGGCAAUGGAGAUAUUAGACUUGCAAAAAGAAACAAGCCUACAUCUAUAGUAGAGCAAAGUGAUUGGGAUUUCCUAUGUGAUUAUUUUGCCAGUGAUGAGAUGAAGGUAACUACUAUUCAAUGAUACUAUUUUUAGUACAUAUUCUUAAUGGAAUCUAUGCCGUACUUGGAACCCUUCUCAUGAGUGUGGAAAAAUAAUGAUAUUCAUAUAUUACUUGAGUUAAGUCUAGUUUUGUAGAUUGGUUUGGCUAUAUUGAUCAAUAGAAAAAAUUAAAAGAAAACAAGGUUGGAAAAUUGUGGUACUUGUGUAGAGAAGGCUGCUUUACAGAAUGAGGUUGAAAUCUUCGUUCACAAUUGAAAUAUGUGCAGAUAUUCUUAAUUCGCAUUCCUAAAGAGUUUCUUCAGCCUAUUCAAUCUUAUAUGUCUUCAUCCAAUGGUUUAAAUGGUGAUAAUUAAUAUGUUUUUUACUUUAGUUUUGGUGAUGUAGUAAUAGUUAUUUAUUUUUAUUUGAUUGAGGCAAUAGUCUCUAACUUUACAUCUUCUAGUUUUUUAUGUUGAGAAUAGAAAUAAUUGAACUGGGUAUAUUUUGGUUGCUCAAAUCAUGAUAUUUGAUAUAAUUAACAUGUAGUUGUAGUUGAUGUUGGGACAAUUGAUUGAAGAC
Molecule: long non-coding RNA, 10590 nt
Filed under: Olea europaea subsp. europaea
Lineage: Eukaryota; Viridiplantae; Streptophyta; Magnoliopsida; Lamiales; Oleaceae
Source: RNAcentral